UACGUAGGGGGCAAGCGUUGUCCGGAUUUAUUGGGCGUAAAGAGCGUGUAGGCGGUCAGGUAGGUCCGUUGUGAAAACUCGAGGCUCAACCUCGAGACGCCGAUGGAAACCAUCUGACUAGAGUCCGGAAGAGGAGAGUGGAAUUCCUGGUGUAGCGGUGAAAUGCGCAGAUAUCAGGAGGAACACCGGUGGCGAAGGCGGUUCUCUGGGCCGUAACUGACGCUGAGGAGCGAAAGCGUGGGGAGCGAACAGG
This 253-nucleotide ribosomal RNA is filed under the name uncultured bacterium. RNAcentral's name for it is "partial 16S ribosomal RNA". It matches the Rfam family "Bacterial small subunit ribosomal RNA", at positions 524 to 776 of the family's 1533-position model. The record is from RNAcentral.